GAGCCCGUAACUCAGCUGGAUAGAGUGCCAAAUUCCUAAUUUGGAAGCCGUGGGUUCGAAUCCCGCCGGGCUCGCCA
RNAcentral lists this transfer RNA (77 nucleotides) under Novosphingobium guangzhouense. RNAcentral's name for it is "tRNA-Arg". It matches the Rfam family "tRNA". Rfam says of the family: Transfer RNA (tRNA) molecules are approximately 80 nucleotides in length. Their secondary structure includes four short double-helical elements and three loops (D, anti-codon, and T loops). Further hydrogen bonds mediate the characteristic L-shaped molecular structure. tRNAs have two regions of fundamental functional importance: the anti-codon, which is responsible for specific mRNA codon recognition, and the 3' end, to which the tRNAs corresponding amino acid is attached (by aminoacyl-tRNA synthetases). tRNAs cope with the degeneracy of the genetic code in two manners: having more than one tRNA (with a specific anti-codon) for a particular amino acid; and 'wobble' base-pairing, i.e. permitting non-standard base-pairing at the 3rd anti-codon position. The record is from RNAcentral. Lineage: Bacteria; Pseudomonadati; Pseudomonadota; Alphaproteobacteria; Sphingomonadales; Sphingomonadaceae.